Molecule: ribosomal RNA, 510 nt
Filed under: Triticum aestivum (bread wheat)
Lineage: Eukaryota; Viridiplantae; Streptophyta; Magnoliopsida; Poales; Poaceae
Description: partial small subunit ribosomal RNA
Source: RNAcentral
AUGGCGGGCACAGCUGUCGCCGCGGUGCUCUCCAAGUUCGGGCAGCUCGCCGUGAGUGAGGCACAAUUUCUGGCCCAGGUGGGUGAUGACAUGAUGCUGCUGCGCGACCGUCUGGAGUGGCUCCAGGCCUUCAUCCGCGAUGCCGACAGGAAGCGCCGGACUGGCGCCGACGGGCUCACCCGCGUAUGGCUGCGUCAGACUCGCGAUGCUGCCUUUGAAGCCGAGGACGCGCUCGACGAAUUCUUCCACCAGGUUGACCUAGAAAGCCAGGACUAUGAAGGCUGGAAAAAAUGGGCCAAAUACUUGACUAGCUGGUUGAGCCAAAUAACCAUCCGACAUGUAUUGUCUAAUCGUCUCAAAAAAAUCAAAAGCAAACUGGAGCAAAUCUCAGUGAAUCAAAAGGAAUACAAGAUCGAGCACACGUCAUUUAAGAUGUUUGCAUCAUCCACUACAGCGACUGCAGCAUGGUGCAGAAACAAUACGUGUGGUAGUUGCUACUCAGUUCAGUAA